CAACAAUUAGGGUGAGAAUUUGCUAUUCAUAUCCCAUAUCUUUAGUAUAUUAUGUUUAGAUUGUGUUUUGUUUAUUUGCUAGGUAAUCUGCUUUGAUCUGUUUGCUAUCCCAAAUCAUAGAAUAUCAGGGUUGGAAGGGACCUCAGGAGGUCAUCU
This is a long non-coding RNA of Dermochelys coriacea (leatherback sea turtle), 156 nucleotides long. RefSeq lists it as uncharacterized. The transcript is spliced from 3 exons. NCBI's taxonomy places the organism in Eukaryota, Metazoa, Chordata, Testudines, Dermochelyidae. The record is from RefSeq and is a predicted model, not a curated record.